RNAcentral lists this ribosomal RNA (497 nucleotides) under uncultured bacterium. RNAcentral describes it as "partial 16S ribosomal RNA". It matches the Rfam family "Bacterial small subunit ribosomal RNA", at positions 28 to 507 of the family's 1533-position model. The record is from RNAcentral.
GAUGAACGCUGGCGGCGUGCCUAAUACAUGCAAGUCGAGCGAACGGACGAGAAGCUUGCUUCUCUGAUGUUAGCGGCGGACGGGUGAGUAACACGUGGAUAACCUACCUAUAAGACUGGGAUAACUUCGGGAAACCGGAGCUAAUACCGGAUAAUAUUUUGAACCGCAUGGUUCAAAAGUGAAAGACGGUCUUGCUGUCACUUAUAGAUGGAUCCGCGCUGCAUUAGCUAGUUGGUAAGGUAACGGCUUACCAAGGCAACGAUGCAUAGCCGACCUGAGAGGGUGAUCGGCCACACUGGAACUGAGACACGGUCCAGACUCCUACGGGAGGCAGCAGUAGGGAAUCUUACGCAAUGGGCGAAAGCCUGACGGAGCAAAGCCGCGUGAGUGAUGAAGGUCUUCGGAUCGUAAAACUCUGUUAUUAGGGAAGAACAUAUGUGUAAGUAACUGUGCACAUCUUGACGGUACCUAAUCAGAAAGCCACGGCUAACUACGUG